GAAUUCAAAUGUGGUAUGGAGCCCGUUUCAGCCACACAGAUAAGGGUGUCAUUGCAACAAGGGGUUGUCAGAGCAACAAGGUAGAAGCAAGUUGGGUCUUUGGAUGACCUCGAGGAAGAGCGCUGCCUACUCACCUGGACCACCCACCUGCCUCUGUGCUGUUAGGUAAGGGCACAGCAAGAAGGGAGCUGUCUAUGAACCAGUAAUCGGACUCUCACCAGGAACCAAAUCAUCCUGCACCUUGAUCUUGGAUUUCUCAGCCUCCAGAACCAUGAGAAAUAAAGCAACCUUGGGAGGUCGAUGGUAUUAUCCCCAUUUUACAGAUGGCGGCACAAAGGCUUGGAGGCUGACAGACUUUUCUGAUAUCACACAGCCCGCAGACUGCUGAGCAGCGACUGGAACUGCGGCCUUGUGCUCCUGGCUGCACCUUGGGCUGCCCAGACCACUCUGUUGCUGGUGCCCAGCUCAACCUUCAAAUCUUCGUUUAUGGAGUUACAUAAAUGUGGCCAGAAGCUGACUGUCCAAUAAAUCAUAAGCAAUUAUCUGCUCAUGGAAAACCUUUGUUGAAGGUAGUGUUCCCACAUACGGCCAGGUACCUUUCCUCUCCAUUUUCUUUCCUGGGUGCAGAGAGCUCUACUGGAAAUCACUGGGAGGUCUGUGCACAAUGAGGAGCAGGGAAUGAGAGGCAGGGUGUGAAUCUAUUCCAUAAAGUGAAAACUUAUGCCCUAACAAAUAAUUAAGAAAACAUUCAAGGUCAUUUCCUCAGCUGAUCAUCACCAGCAGAGCCAACUUUGGAUUAAACACUUCUGCUCAGUGGUUUUGACAUUCUUAGUCAGGCAUAUCUUGAUGAAAUUAGAGAUGCAGAAAAUAUUUUUUGAUGGAGUGCAGGGACAAAACAGCUAGAAGGGAAGCCAAUUCUGUGCACAAACUUGUGCAGUCUGAAAUAAAGAGGAGAAGAGAAAGCAAGAGAUUAAGGUGCGUGUGCUUGUGCGAGUGUGUGUGUGUAUAAAUCAAGGAAGAUGAAAACAAGUGAUAGAAGAGGAAAGGGGAAUCUGGGGUGAUGCUAAUUAAUUAGACUUUAAGAUCUUGGCAGCGAGA
Long non-coding RNA from Diceros bicornis minor, 1098 nucleotides. RefSeq lists it as uncharacterized. NCBI's taxonomy places the organism in Eukaryota, Metazoa, Chordata, Mammalia, Perissodactyla, Rhinocerotidae. The transcript is spliced from 3 exons. The record is from RefSeq and is a predicted model, not a curated record.